CCAGCUGUGGGCCAGUGGCUAGGCCACCUCAUUUGGGAUGAGGAUGACGGGGGUUCGAGUCCCUCCAGCUGGACCA
This 76-nucleotide transfer RNA is filed under the name Kribbella pittospori. RNAcentral describes it as "tRNA-Pro". It matches the Rfam family "tRNA". Rfam says of the family: Transfer RNA (tRNA) molecules are approximately 80 nucleotides in length. Their secondary structure includes four short double-helical elements and three loops (D, anti-codon, and T loops). Further hydrogen bonds mediate the characteristic L-shaped molecular structure. tRNAs have two regions of fundamental functional importance: the anti-codon, which is responsible for specific mRNA codon recognition, and the 3' end, to which the tRNAs corresponding amino acid is attached (by aminoacyl-tRNA synthetases). tRNAs cope with the degeneracy of the genetic code in two manners: having more than one tRNA (with a specific anti-codon) for a particular amino acid; and 'wobble' base-pairing, i.e. permitting non-standard base-pairing at the 3rd anti-codon position. The record is from RNAcentral. Lineage: Bacteria; Bacillati; Actinomycetota; Actinomycetes; Propionibacteriales; Kribbellaceae.